UUGGAAUAAUCUUAGUAACUCCAUGCCUACAACUUCUCUUAUGUCAGAGAUAAGUCCAGGUUAGAAUCAGAGUACCGGGAAAAUUCCAGAUGAAGAUGAGUGUAAAGAAGUCUUUUUCUUCAAAGAGGAGCCUUUUCUUAACUCUGUGAUGAAGAUCUUCAGGGUCAAAACAAUGCUCUGGAAGAAAAUUAUCCACAAUACUUUUGUGAGUUAG
This 214-nucleotide long non-coding RNA is filed under the name Macaca mulatta (Rhesus monkey). Its description in RNAcentral is "lncRNA (ENSMMUG00000054534.1)". Lineage: Eukaryota; Metazoa; Chordata; Mammalia; Primates; Cercopithecidae. The record is from RNAcentral.